RNAcentral lists this long non-coding RNA (527 nucleotides) under Zea mays. RNAcentral's name for it is "drought responsive lncRNA". The record is from RNAcentral. Lineage: Eukaryota; Viridiplantae; Streptophyta; Magnoliopsida; Poales; Poaceae.
CCUCCUCUCUCGUACGAUAUGCUUCACCAUGGAAGAUCCACCGGGUAUAGUCUGUCAUAAAUCCAUUCUUCCAAAUAUGUUCUCCCAUGGCAUUCUUUGUUUGUCUUUUCCUAUUUGCACAUUUGUUGCACGAACAUGGGACUAGACUCGCUCCUUUAGCAGCUUUGCCAAAUACUCAUUCCAAGAAAGCAUUGGUCUUUGUAAUUCAUUCAAGGGUGACAUCUUUUCUUCUUAUGUGGCCUGUGUACAUCUACUCACGGUCCUCCAUCCUCUAACAUAGAUAAUAGCAUAGUGUAAUAUAAACAUGUAAUGCAUCUACAGUAUGUUCCUACCUUCUAAUUGGUGAGGAUAGGUCGUAAUUCCACCCACGGUUGCAUAGGUGGGGUUAGUUUCCAUUCUCUACUCUGAUUCGGGAUAGAAUUUUGGUAGCACAUCCCCGCUGUUCUCCAAAUAUACAUCCUUGUAGGGAGUGUGUGUAUCUAGAGAACAACAAGGAGGUGCUGCCAAAACUCUGUCUCGGACAGGAG